GCUCGAAUGGCGGAAUUGGUAUACGCGCAACACUUAAAAUGUUGUCCCGCAAGGGUUGUGGGUUCGACUCCCACUUCGAGCACCA
This 85-nucleotide transfer RNA is filed under the name Candidatus Zambryskibacteria bacterium RIFOXYC1_FULL_39_10. RNAcentral describes it as "tRNA-Leu". It matches the Rfam family "tRNA". Rfam says of the family: Transfer RNA (tRNA) molecules are approximately 80 nucleotides in length. Their secondary structure includes four short double-helical elements and three loops (D, anti-codon, and T loops). Further hydrogen bonds mediate the characteristic L-shaped molecular structure. tRNAs have two regions of fundamental functional importance: the anti-codon, which is responsible for specific mRNA codon recognition, and the 3' end, to which the tRNAs corresponding amino acid is attached (by aminoacyl-tRNA synthetases). tRNAs cope with the degeneracy of the genetic code in two manners: having more than one tRNA (with a specific anti-codon) for a particular amino acid; and 'wobble' base-pairing, i.e. permitting non-standard base-pairing at the 3rd anti-codon position. The record is from RNAcentral. Lineage: Bacteria; Candidatus Zambryskiibacteriota. RNAcentral also lists the same sequence under 1 other name.